Molecule: non-coding RNA, 2233 nt
Organism: Schizosaccharomyces pombe (fission yeast)
Lineage: Eukaryota; Fungi; Ascomycota; Schizosaccharomycetes; Schizosaccharomycetales; Schizosaccharomycetaceae
Source: the annotation of a GenBank genome assembly
UUAUCGCUGGUAAUCUUGGUAAAAUCAGUGUUUAUAUCAUUUGUGUAAAUAUUGAUGGUUGUUAACAUUUUCUGAAACAAUUGCUGAUAUGAAAGACUAUUAAAAGUCCUGUUUCAAAAAUUGAGAUAAAGAUUUUGGAAAACAUAGAUACAUGUACAUCAUCGCUUAGCACUUUGAGAAAGAGAUAAUAAUAGAAUCAUAUUUACCCCAAACUAAUUCAUGGGUGAUUGAUGAAAACAUCAACCAUUGUUUCAUUUCAUAAAGCAACACUGGGUGAGCACUAAAUAGACGGAACCAAAUGAUGUGAGGUUCAUGAUGGGUUCAUCGUUUCCAUUCAGUUUACACACCAUACGAAGAGGAAAAAGAAGUUAUUAAAAAAGUACAAGCGAUGCCGUCAGUUGGAUAUAAAGAAACGAGAGCUAGUACGUAUUACCACACCACCACAAUUUAACCCGAUUAGGCAAACAUCAAGAGUCCUGCAAAGACCGAAUCAAUCGGUACAUGUCUCGCUGAAAAACUUUAUAGUUGAAUGUUGUCUCCAUUUCUUGUGAUAUGAGUUUCAAGUUUUGAUCUUUUUUAAAAUCGUCAUCAAUCAUUUCAUCAUUUCAUCUUUUUGUUUGUUUGUUUGUUUUUUUAAUUUUUAAACAAUAUCGAACUUUAAUUACUGGAGUUCAGCCGACUGGAGAUGUAAAAGUCUUUAUCGUUUUUUGUUGACAAUCAUACUCGAAAAAAAAGAAAUCAAAUCAGAAUUGAACACGAAGUAUGACCCGAAUUGCUCUAGUACACGUGAUGUCGUCAUGGCAAGAAAUUUUGGUGAUGUGGGUCUACUAAUCCAAUAAUAGCGACUUCCUUACUUAUUAAGAGACUUGGUGGUAGUUUAAUUUGCAAAGUUUUGAAUAAAUAAAAAAAAAAUCGUCACAGUUUACAAAUUCGGUAAUUUGUUUUCCGUGGAAGAAAAGCAUUCCGGAUGAGAAUAGGAUCCAAUUGAAUAGAAGAUUGAAGAAAAUGGAACCGGCGAUUGAGAAAGACUACAAGAUGAAAAGCCAGAGACAAUGAUUAUAGCCCAAAGGAAGCUAAGAUACACUAAGUUAUACGAAAAGCACGAUAGCUUAUUCAUAAACAAUCCAAUUUCGAAAAUUGUGUUGUGCCAGUUACAAAUUACAGCAAUCGGUGAUAAAAAUCAAAGCUGACUUUGUUAUUGGCCGUAUCUUUUCGAAACUUUGAUUCUACUGCUUAUGGAACCGUUCUUUAAUUUGAUUGUGUUUGGGAGAAGAAACUGUAUGAUAGUAGUGUGUGCAGACACGCAAGAUGAAUGAAAUACUUCGAAAGGAAUGUUUAUGUAAAUACUUGUGGAGACUCAGUUUAACUCCAGCAUUUUUUCAACUAUCCCAAUAAUCCCAUUAUUUCUAUUUCUGCCUCACGUUUCUAUUAGCAUAGUAUGGUUGGAAUUUUGAGUUACUUCUUUGUAGCAUUCUUUAAGGAUUCAUUUUUACAAACCACCUAAUCAUUGUGUACAAGUUAUACUUAGGUAAUCAUAUGCAUGCUCCGUUGCUUAUCUCGUUACCAAAAAUCUGUAAACUAACACUUUUACAAUAGUCAAUUAAGAUAUUCGGGUUUUUUAGAUGCAGCUUCUGUAUAGUUUUCUUACUCAAAGCGCAUUAUUUUUCUACGGAUAGAUUUUAAGGAGCAAAAACAGUAUCAUCAGCUUUUAUCAGUCAUGUCGAAUGUGAGGAUUCUUCAUGCUACGUUAAAGAAACGAGUCGAAAAGGAAGUGCGGUUGACAACGACUAUUUAAAUGCUAAGGAAAUAAAAAUGUAGUAAGUUUUUAAAGUUACCGAUGGAAACGUAGUAUUACGUAUAUGGAAUCUUGCAUCAUUAUGGAACCGUCAAGUUACGGAAUGUAAAUUUCCUACGCUUGAUUUGAGGAAGGAAAAUCGUAAAAUCUAGACAUUGAAUAUGUUUUUUCAAAAUGGAUAGCCUUCAUGGUAUUUGUAUAAUAUUAUUUAAUUACAGCCUAAUUUGAUUUAAAAAUCACUUCUGCGACUCAUACUUUUUCGAUGGUUAAAGCUUGAUUUAGGAAUAUGGGUUUACCGCAGAACUCUAGCUCUUCCAAUCAACCGUUAUUACCUCGAAAGGUAUAACAACUCAACAAGACCUUAUAUUGUCUCCAAUUCUAUAUGUUACGUUAUGCUGUUAUAAACAGAAGAAACGGUGUAUCUGCUGUUGAAUAAGU